CCGCUUCUCCCUCAUCCUCAGUGCCAGUUAUCUCCUCAUAAAAGGCGAUUAGGUUAGUCAGACUUGAUUUGCCUUUGGUGAAUCCAUGCUGACUCUUCCUGAUCACUUUCCUCUCCUCUAAGUGCUUCAGA
Non-coding RNA from Chelonoidis abingdonii (Abingdon island giant tortoise), 131 nucleotides. NCBI's taxonomy places the organism in Eukaryota, Metazoa, Chordata, Testudines, Testudinidae. The record is from RefSeq and is a predicted model, not a curated record.